RNAcentral lists this ribosomal RNA (282 nucleotides) under Stygnus pectinipes. RNAcentral describes it as "partial large subunit ribosomal RNA". The record is from RNAcentral. Lineage: Eukaryota; Metazoa; Arthropoda; Arachnida; Opiliones; Stygnidae.
AUUUAAUUCAACAUCGAGGUCGCAAUCUUAGUUAUUAAUAAGAACUUUCUAACUAAAUAACGCUGUUAUCCCUAGAGUAACUUAAAAGUUUAUUAAGUUUUUUUAAUAAAAAUUUGUAUCUUCAAAAAUUACCCCAAUUAAAAAUUAAUUUUUUAAAGCUUCUAGGGUCUUAUCGUCCCAAAAAUUUAUAAAAACAUUUUUAUUUUUAAUUUAAAUUCAAAUUGAUUUAUAAAAACAUUCCUUAAGAGUUUCUACCUUUCAUUCCAGUCUUCAAUUAAAAAA